UACAGAGGCCUCGAGCGUUAGGCGGAAUCACUGGGCUUAAAGCGUGUGUAGGCGGACUUCUAAGUACCUUGUGAAAUCCCACGGCUUACCUGUGGAACGGCUGGGUAUACUGGGAGUCUUGAGCCACCUAGGGGCGAGUGGAACAAAUGGUGGAGCGGUGAAAUGCGUAGAUAUCAUUUGGAACGCCAAUGGUGAAAACAACUCGCUGGGGGUGUGCUGACGCUGAGACACGAAGGCCAGGGGAGCGAACGGG
This 253-nucleotide ribosomal RNA is filed under the name uncultured bacterium. RNAcentral's name for it is "partial 16S ribosomal RNA". It matches the Rfam family "Bacterial small subunit ribosomal RNA", at positions 524 to 776 of the family's 1533-position model. The record is from RNAcentral.